Molecule: long non-coding RNA, 592 nt
Filed under: Takifugu rubripes (torafugu)
Lineage: Eukaryota; Metazoa; Chordata; Actinopteri; Tetraodontiformes; Tetraodontidae
Description: lncRNA (ENSTRUG00000026952.1)
Source: RNAcentral
AUUCAUGGCGCGCACUCGUCCCAGGAGCAACUAGAAGUCUUUGACCAUUGCAUUUUAGGAACAUUCCAGCCAGAUUGAUACCAAAUUUCACCUCUUUCAGUUGCUGAUGGAAGAUCUCCGUAGCGUCUCCACCCAAAUCGAAGAACUGAGGGCCGGAUGUCCCAUGCAGGGCUGUGGAGUUGGAAAAGGUGGCGAACUGGGAGCCCUGUGGAGGCGCUGGCUGUGUUUGCGACGUGGCAUUGGCCUCCUGACGGCCCACGCACAACAGAGAGCAAACGAGUGGCGAGACAUUACCGCAAGUAUAAAGGAGUCACGUAGGUGUCUGAAUACGCUGCAGGCCGAUGUUCUCGACGCCUCCACUGUGAGUUUCACUAUGGUGGAUCCUCAGGAGCUUCUGGGUCGGGCUGAAAUGCACCAGGCAGCCCUGCAGGUGCAGCAGCAGGCCCUGGCCUCCCUGCAGCAUCGGAUGGAGCAAGUUCUCAUUUCCUCUACAUCUCAGGAGCCCCUCAGUCCCGGACCUGUGGGCAAAACCCUGGCGAUGAGCCGAGAGAGCGUCGUGAGGUGUGAAUUCUGUCGUAUAUUUCUGAAAUAA